CUUAAAAAGAUCUUUAAAAUUCCAAAAAAUUGAAAAAUAAGAAAUUUUUUAUAAAAUCAAUUUUGAAAUUAAAAUUGAAAUUAAAUUUUAUUUUUCUUUUUAAAAAAUAAAAACUCUUCCAAAAUUUUCUAUAAAAUUAAAACGAACUUUAAAUUCCAAAAAAUUGAAAAAAUAAAGAAUUUUUUUUAUAAAAUUAAUUCUGAAAUUAAAAUUGAAAAUAAAAUUUUAUAUUUCUUAAAAAAAAAAUAUC
Molecule: long non-coding RNA, 250 nt
Filed under: Brassica napus (rape)
Lineage: Eukaryota; Viridiplantae; Streptophyta; Magnoliopsida; Brassicales; Brassicaceae
Description: long non-coding RNA (BNAP_LNC012416)
Source: RNAcentral